GAUGAACGCUAGCGGCAGGCCUAAUACAUGCAAGUCGAACGAGAUUAAGAGGCUUGCUUCUUAUGAAAGUGGCGCACGGGUGCGUAACGCGUAUGCAACCUACCUUAAUCAGGGGGAUAGCCCGAAGAAAUUCAGAUUAAGACCGCAUAAAAACACAGGAUAGCAUUAUCCAAUGUUCAAAUAUUUAUAGGAUUAAGAUGGGCAUGCGUGUCAUUAGCUAGUUGGCGGGGUAACGGCCCACCAAGGCGACGAUGACUAGGGGAUCUGAGAGGAUGACCCCCCACACUGGUACUGAGACACGGACCAGACUCCUACGGGAGGCAGCAGUAAGGAAUAUUGGUCAAUGGAGGGAACUCUGAACCAGCCAUGCCGCGUGCAGGAAGACAGCCCUCUGGGUCGUAAACUGCUUUUAUUCGGGAAUAAACCUUUCUACGUGUAGGAAGCUGAAUGUACCGAAGGAAUAAGGAUCGGCUAACUCCGUGCCAGCCGCCGCAGUAA
Molecule: ribosomal RNA, 498 nt
Filed under: uncultured bacterium
Lineage: Bacteria
Description: partial 16S ribosomal RNA
Rfam family: Bacterial small subunit ribosomal RNA
Source: RNAcentral